This 1880-nucleotide ribosomal RNA is filed under the name Triticum aestivum (bread wheat). RNAcentral describes it as "partial small subunit ribosomal RNA". Lineage: Eukaryota; Viridiplantae; Streptophyta; Magnoliopsida; Poales; Poaceae. The record is from RNAcentral.
GAUCCGGCAGGCAGAGGCAGGGGCGCACGCACAAUCUCUAUUCUACAGGAGAACGGUCACUGGGCCUUGCCCCGAUCGAGAGCGGUACCUCGACGGCGACAGACGCGGCGCGCGCGUACGGCGGCGACGGAAGGGGGCGUCGGGGUGAAGAUAGAGGGCGGAGGUUACCCAUCGGUGAGGGGUGUCGGCGCGCGCGGGAGACGUGCGGGCGUCCUUGUUCUUGGGCUCCCCGCUGCGGCGCCUCGGGUUUCAGUAGUGGUAGCCAGCCGGGCCCUUCUUCUCGUUCGCCGCGCCGCUGUUCUUCGUCCUAGUCGUCGUCGAGGGGCGCCUGGUUCUUCUACUUCUGCUGCUCCUCCUCCUACUGCUCCUCCUGCUCUCCCUGCACCGCUAGGGCCUCCACCACUGCUUGGCCUACUACGCCGCACACCCCCGCAGCCACCCCGAGGGCGACCGCGACCCCGACCGGAAGAAGGGCCGGAAGAUGAUGGACUUCUUCCACCGCUUCCACCUGCACGGUUCGAAGUAAGGGAUGCCCGACAGGAAGCACAAGAAGCCCCGCCGCGACCGGCCGCACUCGAUGCCGUAGCACAGGCGGUCGACCCUGGGGCGGUCCCUCCCUAGGGACGAGCCGACCUUGCUCCGGGCGGCGUUGACCGGGCAGAAGACCCUCAGGAAGGCCCCGUGGGGAGGAGGAGGCUCGGGAGGAGCGGCCCCUGCUACUACUAUCCGACACCACCAUUGAGCCAAUUCGAAUUAAUGAACAAAGGGAGUCAAAGAAGAAGAGCGACAUGCGGACAUGCAUCGACAUCAACAAGAACACUCGCGCGCACACACAUUUUGUUACUCUAAAACAACGGGUUAGUGAGUUGUCAUUCUCUGCCUCGUCGUAUCGUUCAUCUUUGGUAAGUAAUGGCGUAUUAGGUUUCGUAUAUUAAUGAAAGUUUUAUUGAGAUCAGUUUUCCUUCUUUGUAGGUGACGAUAACGACAAUGUAUAGUUAAGGGUGCCCUACGUGGGUUGCUCCGAGCUUUGUCGUUUCCGCCAGGACAUGGCGUUUCCCAACACGUAUUCUAGUCCUCCGAAUAUAACUAUACUAGGUUGCCGCAGAACAAAGGGGCCACAGAUGGAGAUCCACACUCGGUAGUAGCUAUCACGGUUCUACCAAUGAUUAUUUAUCAUUACGACUACGACGUCAUGAAGUAACUACUAGUUUACUACCCUCACCCCCACACUACAGGACCGAGCGAAACAGGUCUGAGAAGUUCCCGAGUAGUAGGUUCUUGACCGAUUUCGUUAUCGUCGAAACUGGUUUCCAGACGUAAAGCGAUACAGCUUUCCGAUGGCCGAUCACUACUAAGACCGAAGUCUAACAGACUACCACCACUUGUUCGCUGUCCGGUGUCGAUCAACUACUAAAGUUGAAGGUAACGAGAAGCCUAAGUCUCAACAAAGUAGAGAGUACAAUUUACAUAGACGCAGCUCUAACAUGUUCUUAGACGGUCAAGAAGUUAAAAGUAUUCUCAACUUAAGUACUAGAGUAACAGGUCCACUCAUCGAAUCGUAAUAUUACAACGUAUGGAACGACCUUGCUUGGUCGGGAAUUUUACGAAGGCCGACCAUCACAAACGGUGGGGCUCAACUAAGAAUGUCUAUGUAAAAGGACGAGAUUCAAAGAAGUAGACUGUCGUUAACUCCAGUGAUUGAAGUCAAAACCGAUGCCGGAUGCAAGAGGUAAAUAGCCUCUCGAAGUUCUCUACAUCACAGUAAACUGUAUAGAAGUAAGUGUCUGACGUGGGCCGAAAUCCCGGUGGCGCGAGUAGGAGAUACAGCGGUGGUGGGACCUUGUGUGACGAAUCCAGGUUUUCUGUUCCGAUGGAGCUGC